Molecule: ribosomal RNA, 465 nt
Filed under: Vreelandella stevensii
Lineage: Bacteria; Pseudomonadati; Pseudomonadota; Gammaproteobacteria; Oceanospirillales; Halomonadaceae
Description: partial 16S ribosomal RNA
Rfam family: Bacterial small subunit ribosomal RNA
Source: RNAcentral
CCUACGGGUGGCAGCAGUGGGGAAUAUUGGACAAUGGGCGAAAGCCUGAUCCAGCCAUGCCGCGUGUGUGAAGAAGGCCUUCGGGUUGUAAAGCACUUUCAGUGGGGAAGAAAGCCUUGGGGCUAAUACCCUCGAGGAAGGACAUCACCCACAGAAGAAGCACCGGCUAACUCCGUGCCAGCAGCCGCGGUAAUACGGAGGGUGCGAGCGUUAAUCGGAAUUACUGGGCGUAAAGCGCGCGUAGGCGGUCUGAUAAGCCGGUUGUGAGAGCCCCGGACUCAACCUGGGAACGGCAUCCGGAACUGUCAGGCUAGAGUGCAGGAGAGGAAGGUAGAAUUCCCGGUGUAGCGGUGAAAUGCGUAGAGAUCGGGAGGAAUACCAGUGGCGAAGGCGGCCUUCUGGACUGACACUGACGCUGAGGUGCGAAAGCGUGGGUAGCAAACAGGAUUAGAUACCCCUGUAGUC